GAUGAACGCUGGCGGCGUGCUUAACACAUGCAAGUCGAACGAUUAAAGCACCUUCGGGUGUGUAUAAAGUGGCGAACGGGUGAGUAACACGUGGGCAACCUGCCCCUCACACUGGGAUAGCAGUUGGAAACGACUAUUAAUACCAGAUACUCCGUACGGAUCACAUGGUCUGUACGGGAAAGCUCCGACGGUGAGGGAUGGGCCCGCGGUCCAUUAGUUAGUUGGUAGGGUAACGGCCUACCAAGACAGCGAUGGAUAGCCGAGUUGAGAGACUGAUCGGCCACACUGGGACUGAGACACGGCCCAGACUCCUACGGGAGGCAGCAGUGGGGAAUUUUGCGCAAUGGGGGAAACCCUGACGCAGCAACGCCGCGUGCGGGAUGAAGGCCUUCGGGUUGUAAACCGCUUUCAGUAGGGAUGAGAUUGACAGUACCUACAGAAGAAGCUCCGGCUAACUACGUGCCAGCCGCCGCAGUAAAAC
This 481-nucleotide ribosomal RNA is filed under the name uncultured bacterium. Its description in RNAcentral is "bacterial SSU rRNA". It matches the Rfam family "Bacterial small subunit ribosomal RNA", at positions 28 to 526 of the family's 1533-position model. The record is from RNAcentral.